GAUGAACGCUGGCGGCGUGCUUAACACAUGCAAGUCGAACGGAAAGGCUCCUGGUUGCCGGGGUACUCGAUUGGCGAACGGGUGAGUAACACGUGGGUGAUCUGCCCUGCACUUCGGGAUAAACCUGGGAAACUGGGGCUAAUACAGGAUAGGACGAUGGUUUGGAUGCCAUUGUGGAAAGAUUUUCGGUGUGGGAUGGGCUCGCGGCCUAUCCGCUAGUUGGUCGGGUAAUGGCCUACCAAGGCGUCGACGGGUAGCCGGCCUGAGAGGGUGUACGGCCACAUUGGGCCUGCGGUACGGCCCAGACGGCUACGGGAGGCAGCAGUGGGGAAUAUUGCGCAAUGGGCGCGAGCCUGAUGCAGCGGCGUCGCGUGGGGGAUGACGGCCUUCUGGUUGUAAACGACUUUCGCUGGAGACGAAGCCGAAUUGACGGUACCUGGAGAGAAAGCACCGGCUAACUACGUG
This 465-nucleotide ribosomal RNA is filed under the name uncultured bacterium. RNAcentral's name for it is "partial 16S ribosomal RNA". It matches the Rfam family "Bacterial small subunit ribosomal RNA", at positions 28 to 507 of the family's 1533-position model. The record is from RNAcentral.